This 468-nucleotide ribosomal RNA is filed under the name uncultured bacterium. RNAcentral's name for it is "partial 16S ribosomal RNA". It matches the Rfam family "Bacterial small subunit ribosomal RNA", at positions 28 to 507 of the family's 1533-position model. The record is from RNAcentral.
GAUGAACGCUGGCGGCGUGCUUAACACAUGCAAGUCGAACGGUGAAGGCGGAGCUUGCUCUGCUGGAUCAGUGGCGAACGGGUGAGUAACACGUGAGCAAUCUGCCCCUGACUCUGGGAUAAGCGCUGGAAACGGCGUCUAAUACUGGAUACGAGCUGCGAAGGCAUCUUCAGCAGCUGGAAAGAACUUCGGUCAGGGAUGAGCUCGCGGCCUAUCAGCUUGUUGGUGAGGUAACGGCUCACCAAGGCGUCGACGGGUAGCCGGCCUGAGAGGGUGACCGGCCACACUGGGACUGAGAAACGGACCAGACUCAUACGGGAGGCAGCAGUGGGGAAUAGUGCACAAUGGGCGGAAGCCUGAUGCAGCAACGCCGCGUGAGGGACGACGGCCUUCGGGUUGUAAACCUCUUUGAGCAGGGAAGAAGCGAAAGUGACGGUACCUGCAGAAAAAGCGCCGGCUAACUACGUG